CGCUGGCGGCAGGCCUAACACAUGCAAGUCGAGCGCGCCUUCGGGUGAGCGGCGGACGGGUUAGUAACGCGUGGGAACGUGCCCUUCUCUACGGAAUAGCCUCUGGAAACGGAGAGUAAUACCGUAUACGCCCUUUGGGGGAAAGAUUUAUCGGAGAAGGAUCGGCCCGCGUUAGAUUAGGUAGUUGGUGGGGUAACGGCCUACCAAGCCUACGAUCUAUAGCUGGUUUUAGAGGAUGAUCAGCAACACUGGGACUGAGACACGGCCCAGACUCCUACGGGAGGCAGCAGUGGGGAAUCUUAGACAAUGGGGGCAACCCUGAUCUAGCCAUGCCGCGUGAGUGAUGAAGGCCUUAAGGUCGUAAAGCUCUUUCCCUGUGAUGAUAAUGACAGUGCAGGUAAAGAAACCCCGGCUAACUCCGUGCCAGCAGCCCCGGUAAUACGGAGGGGGGUUAGCGUUAANCCGAAUUC
RNAcentral lists this ribosomal RNA (470 nucleotides) under uncultured Paracoccaceae bacterium. RNAcentral describes it as "bacterial SSU rRNA". It matches the Rfam family "Bacterial small subunit ribosomal RNA", at positions 34 to 553 of the family's 1533-position model. The record is from RNAcentral. Lineage: Bacteria; Pseudomonadati; Pseudomonadota; Alphaproteobacteria; Rhodobacterales; Paracoccaceae.